ACCCCCAUAGCUCAAUUGGUAGAGCAACUGACUCUUAAUCAGUAGGUUCUAGGUUCGAGUCCUAGUGGGGGUA
RNAcentral lists this transfer RNA (73 nucleotides) under Planctomycetota bacterium. RNAcentral's name for it is "Planctomycetes bacterium tRNA-Lys". It matches the Rfam family "tRNA". From Rfam's summary of the family: Transfer RNA (tRNA) molecules are approximately 80 nucleotides in length. Their secondary structure includes four short double-helical elements and three loops (D, anti-codon, and T loops). The record is from RNAcentral. Lineage: Bacteria; Pseudomonadati; Planctomycetota.